Molecule: non-coding RNA, 907 nt
Organism: Hydra vulgaris (swiftwater hydra)
Lineage: Eukaryota; Metazoa; Cnidaria; Hydrozoa; Anthoathecata; Hydridae
Source: RefSeq, a predicted model, not a curated record
AUAACAUGCAAAUGUUAUUUGUUUUUGAAAUAUAUAAUAUAAUUUGUUGUAAAAAAAAUAUUAAUAAUAAUUAGAUCGGUAUAAAUCAAAACGAGGAUGCGCUUUCAAGUUAUUAUCUUUAGAGGUGUUGCGUUGGAGUCCGAAGAUGUAAUAAUAUUAAGACAUUAAGAAUGACACAAAAGGAACUUUUUCUUCAUAACUUACAAUUUCAAUUAAUAAUGUUCAUCAAGCCCUUAGUUAGUGAACUUUGUGUUGCAUCCAAAAAAUGUGUGGGUUCUUUUUAUAAUUUUGGACAGUUUAAAUAUCAACAAAAUCAAGUACGUAAUUUUUUUUAUGUUAGAAAUUUAUUUAAAAAUUCUACACCUCCAAAAAUAAAACAAAUUUUUACAAGUAAACGAGAUUUGUCAGAACUGAAAUCUUUUGGUCAACCUAUUGGACAGCUUAAAGGAAAGUUGAGUUUGUCUUACACUUGCAAAGUAUGUAACACUCGUUCAACAAAAAUAAUUAAUAAGCAAGCAUAUGACACUGGUGUCGUUCUUAUAAAAUGUGAUGGUUGCAGUAAUCUUCAUCUGAUAGCCGAUAAUCUUGGAUGGUUUUAUGACCAAAAAAGAAAUAUAGAAGAUAUUAUAAAAGAGAAAGGUGAAACUGUUAUGAAAAUUGAAAAGGAAAAUAAUAAAGAAGACAUUGUUCAAUUUGUAUCUAAAAAAUAAAAAUCCAAUUAUUUUGGAUUUCAAAUAAAAUAUUAUGGGCUUUCAAGCGUUUAUAUCUUCACAAACAGAGUUAUAUUUGUCACUUGGAUUAAAUAUCGACAAUGAUGGUAGUGAAGCUGAAAAAAGAUAAUGGAAUGCUGAAGAGAAAAAUCUAAAUUUUUAGUCCAUAGAUUACCUAAUAAAAAAGAUAUUAACUA